CCGAAAGGUGAGCUAAUACCCUAUACGCUAUUCUUUUUUACGAAAAGGAUAGGAAAGCCGGGUCGAGGACCUGGUACUCAAGGGAGGGGCUCAUGUCCUAUCAGCUUGUUGGUGGGGUAACGGCCUACCAAGGCUACGACGGGUAGCUGGUCUGAGAGGAUGAUCAGCCACACUGGCACUGAGAUACGGGCCAGACUCCUACGGGAGGCAGCAGUGAGGAAUAUUGCGCAAGUGGGACGAAACGCCUGACGCAGCGACGCCGCGGUGGGGGAUGAAGGUUUUCGGAUUGUAAACCCCCUUUCAUGAGGAAAGAUAAAGUGGGUAACCACUUAGACGGUACCUCAAGAAGAAGCCACGGCUAACUUCGUG
Molecule: ribosomal RNA, 369 nt
Filed under: uncultured bacterium
Lineage: Bacteria
Description: bacterial SSU rRNA
Rfam family: Bacterial small subunit ribosomal RNA
Source: RNAcentral